RNAcentral lists this ribosomal RNA (429 nucleotides) under Pseudomonadota bacterium. RNAcentral describes it as "Proteobacteria bacterium partial 16S ribosomal RNA". It matches the Rfam family "Bacterial small subunit ribosomal RNA", at positions 355 to 776 of the family's 1533-position model. Lineage: Bacteria; Pseudomonadati; Pseudomonadota. The record is from RNAcentral.
UGGGGAAUAUUGGACAAUGGGCGAAAGCCUGAUCCAGCCAUGCCGCGUGUGUGAAGAAGGUCUUCGGUUUGUAAAGCACUUUAAGUUGGGAGGAAGGGCAGUAAGCGAAUACCUUGCUGUUUUGACGUUACCGACAGAAUAAGCACCGGCUAACUCUGUGCCAGCAGCCGCGGUAAUACAGAGGGUGCAAGCGUUAAUCGGAUUUACUGGGGGUAAAGCGCGCGUAGGUGGUUCGUUAAGUUGAAUGUGAAAGCCCCGGGCUCAACAUGGGAACUGCAUCCAAAACUGGGGAGCUAGAGUAGGGCAGAGGGGGGUGGAAUUUCCUGUGUAGCGGUGAAAUGCGUAGAUAUAGGAAGGAACACCAGUGGCGAAGGCGACCACCUGGGCUCAUACUGACACUGAGGUGCGAAAGCGUGGGGAGCAAACAGG